CACUCCUGUUUCUGCCCUAUAUUCAUCCUCGUUGAAUUAUAGGUUCUGGUGAUGGAGAAGAACAAGCCCGACAACGGCCUAGCGAAUUUUGUAACCUCGCGAAAGCUUUUGGCGGGAUCGUGUGGUUUGGCUGGCUUAGAAGAUCUUUCGCCUAUGGCGUCAGGUCGGCCAGUCGCCGCUAUAUUU
This 186-nucleotide small nucleolar RNA is filed under the name Clavispora lusitaniae ATCC 42720. Its description in RNAcentral is "Small nucleolar RNA snR43". It matches the Rfam family "Small nucleolar RNA snR43". Lineage: Eukaryota; Fungi; Ascomycota; Pichiomycetes; Serinales; Metschnikowiaceae. The record is from Rfam by way of RNAcentral.